UCGUUUUCGGCCACAUAUUUUUGACGAUCACUGCCAAAAACAAAAACACGACCCUCACUACCAAAAACUAAAACAUGAUCUUCAUUGUCUCACUGAUUCUCCAACCGAUUCACUUCCUUCGUUUCAUCGAUUCUUCCUCGUCAUCUAUCGAUUCACCACCGUCAGCCCUUCUUUCGUUUCAUCGAUUCAUCACCGUUUCACCUGAAAGAAAGAACGAACAAAAUACAUUCGUCAACCAUCGUUUCAUUAUCGGAAAGAGGAAACACGGUCGAUUCAGAUUCGCCUCCGAAUCACCUGUCAAAUUAGUCCCCAAUCACAGAAGAACUUUCAAUUUUCUUCUUUCUAUUCAAAAUUCAGUACCAUCUAAUCCUUAAUUUGUUGUGUGUCGAACCCUAAAAAUUCAUUUAGCUGUGUGAUCUCCUUCAAACCCUAAAACACCAUGGAUUUAUUGAGUGACUUACUCCAAAUCAUUCAUUCAGAAAUCUACAGUUUUGCUAGAACGUCAUCGGAAUAAGAAGAAUGCUCUACAUCUUUCACUUCAUAUCCCAUUGUCUCCUUCAAAGCUCCGAAAUAACCGUUUUGAAUAAAAUCACAGUAUAGGUUUACAACUCUCUCUUGGUUUCAAACUUUCAAUUAUGUUUGCGAUGAAAAAUUUUAGAAAGGAAUUGAUCAGCAACUGGGAUGAUUCAACCAUUCUGUCUCAGCAUGAAACAACCUAAGUGAUGGUUAUGAUAGUAAAAAAAUAAUUAUCAGGGACCUGGCACAAAACAAUCUUAGUGGUGAAAUACCAAGGUUUAUAUAAUGGAAAGAAGUUUUGCAAUAUAUCACAUAUGGCUUAUUAAAAACAACUCUUGAAGAUAACUUGGGCAGUCUGCACUGUGAAGAAGACCGUGAUAUCUUUAAGCAACCACUAUGCAGCCUAAGUACACACAAGGCUUCCAAUGUCACGACACUCUGGAAAAACAACAGGGGAAGGGAUUGGUGCAAGUAAACUAGUGACCAUGUCCGACAACGAAUUAGAGCAAGUACACUUGUAUACGAGGAAAACAAGAAGCAGUUAUUUUGCCUAGUUAAGUGAUUGUAUAUGUGGGUUCAGCGCUUUUGGUUCGUGAAGUUUGGUUACUACUUGGUAUUGUUUUGUUGUCCUUUCUUGUUUUCUUAGGUGUUUUGUUUAGAGAAUAUGACUAUUUGCUUUGGAAUUUGGAUUGAAAUACUCUUAGUUGGAAUGUAUGCAUCUAAAAAUUUGGCUAUGCAAAUGUCCUAUUUUUUUAGUA
Vicia villosa (hairy vetch) is the source of this 1274-nucleotide long non-coding RNA. RefSeq lists it as uncharacterized. NCBI's taxonomy places the organism in Eukaryota, Viridiplantae, Streptophyta, Magnoliopsida, Fabales, Fabaceae. The record is from RefSeq and is a predicted model, not a curated record. The transcript has 6 exons.